GAUGAACGCUAGCUACAGGCUUAACAUAUGCAAGUCGAGGGGUAACGAGAGGAAAGCUUGCUUUCCUUGUCGACGACCGGCGCACGGGUGAGUAACGCGUAUCCAACCUGCCCCCAACUAGGGAAUAACCUUGCGAAAGUAAGACUAAUACCCUAUAAUUUCCUCAGAUGUCAUCUGACGAGGAAUAAAGAUUUAUCGGUUGUGGAUGGGGAUGCGUCUGAUUAGCUUGUUGGCGGGGUAACGGCCCACCAAGGCAACGAUCAGUAGGGGUUCUGAGAGGAAGGUCACCCACAUUGGAACAUAGACACGGUCCAAACUCCUACGGGAGGCAGCAGUGAGGAAUAUUGGUCAAUGGGCGGAAGCCUGAACCAGCCAAGUAGCGUGCAGGAUGACGGCCCUAUGGGUUGUAAACUGCUUUUAUACAGGGAUAAAGUUAGCCACGUGUGGUUAUUUGUAGGUACUGUAUGAAUAAGGACCGGCUAAUUCCGUGCCAGCAGCCGCAGUAA
This 506-nucleotide ribosomal RNA is filed under the name uncultured bacterium. Its description in RNAcentral is "partial 16S ribosomal RNA". It matches the Rfam family "Bacterial small subunit ribosomal RNA", at positions 28 to 523 of the family's 1533-position model. The record is from RNAcentral.